This 506-nucleotide ribosomal RNA is filed under the name uncultured bacterium. Its description in RNAcentral is "partial 16S ribosomal RNA". It matches the Rfam family "Bacterial small subunit ribosomal RNA", at positions 29 to 523 of the family's 1533-position model. The record is from RNAcentral.
AGUGAACGCUGGCGGUAGGCCUAACACAUGCAAGUCGAACGGCAGCACAGGAGAGCUUGCUCUCUGGGUGGCGAGUGGCGGACGGGUGAGGAAUACAUCGGAAUCUACUCUGUCGGGGGGGAUAACGUAGGGAAACUUACGCUAAUACCGCAUACGACCUACGGGUGAAAGCAGGGGACCUUCGGUCCUUGCGCGAUUGAAUGAGCCGAUGUCGGAUUAGCUAGUUGGCGGGGUAAAGGCCCACCAAGGCGACGAUCCGUAGCUGGUCUGAGAGGAUGAUCAGCCACACUGGAACUGAGACACGGUCCAGACUCCUACGGGAGGCAGCAGUGGGGAAUAUUGGACAAUGGGCGCAAGCCUGAUCCAGCCAUACCGCGUGGGUGAAGAAGGCCUUCGGGUUGUAAAGCCCUUUUGUUGGGAAAGAAAUCCAGCUGGCUGAUACCCGGUUGGGAUGACGGUACCCAAAGAAUAAGCACCGGCUAACUUCGUGCCAGCCGCCGCCGUAA